Molecule: ribosomal RNA, 305 nt
Filed under: uncultured bacterium
Lineage: Bacteria
Description: bacterial SSU rRNA
Rfam family: Bacterial small subunit ribosomal RNA
Source: RNAcentral
UCCUACGGGGCGCAGCAGUGGGGAAUAUUGGGCAAUGGAGGCAACUCUUACCCAGCAAUGCCGCGUGAAUGAAGAAGGUCUUCGGAUUGUAAAGUUCUUUAAUUGGGGACGAAAAAAAUGACGGUACCCAAGGAAUAAGCCCCGGCUAACUACGUGCCAGCAGCCGCGGUAAUACGUAGGGGGCAAGCGUUAUCCGGAUUUACUGGGUGUAAAGGGAGCGUAGACGGCAGUGCAAGUCUGGAGUGAAAGGCGGGGGCUCAACCCCCGGACUGCUCUGGAAACUUUACGGCUGGAGUGCAGGAGAG